CCUAGUCAAAGUACUACUCGCCUCUGUCUAGGCACGAGUUUAGUAAGUUUGCCUUUCUCCAGGCACAAGUUUACACUCAACUCGCCUAACAAGAGUACAUCUACUCUCCCUCGCUCAGGCACGAGUUACUGGCCGAGUCACUACUUCUAGGGACGAUUUCAUAGUAAACUCUCCUAGCAAGAGUACAACUCGCGUCCUAGGCAUGAGUUCACUAGCCAACUCGCCUAGUCAAAGUACUACUCGCCUCUGUCUAGGCACGAGUUUAGUAAGCUUGCCUUUCUCCGGGCACAAGUUUACACUCAACUCGCCUAACAAGAGUACAUCUACUCUC
Molecule: long non-coding RNA, 331 nt
Filed under: Brassica napus (rape)
Lineage: Eukaryota; Viridiplantae; Streptophyta; Magnoliopsida; Brassicales; Brassicaceae
Description: long non-coding RNA (BNAP_LNC018327)
Source: RNAcentral